UACGGAAGGCAGCAGUGGGGAAUAUUGCACAAUGGGCGAAAGCCUGAUGCAGCUAUGCCGCGUGUAUGAAGAAGGCCUUAGGGUUGUAAAGUACUUUCAUCGGGGAGGAAAAAACAAAACUAAUAAUUUUAUUUCUUGACGUUACCCGAAAAAGAAGCACCGGCUAACUCCGUGCCAGCAGCCGCGGUAAUACGGAGGGUGCUAGCGUUAAUCAGAAUUACUGGGCGUAAAGAGCACGUAGGUGGUUUUUUUAAGUCAGAUGUGAAAUCCCUGGGCUUAACCUAGGAACUGCAUUUUGAAACUGAAAUACUAGAGUAUCGUAGAGGGAGGUAGAAUUCUAGGUGUAGCGGUUGAAAUGCGUAGAUAUCUGGAGGAAUACCUGUGGCGAAAGCGGCCUCCUAAACGAAUACUGACACUGAGGUGCGAAAGCGUGGGGAGCAAACGAGGGAUUAGGAUACC
Molecule: ribosomal RNA, 459 nt
Filed under: uncultured bacterium
Lineage: Bacteria
Description: bacterial SSU rRNA
Rfam family: Bacterial small subunit ribosomal RNA
Source: RNAcentral